AUUCAAACACCGCUUCUCGUACGAUCACCGAAGUUAAGCAGCGUCGAGCCUGGCCAGUACCUAGAUGGGUAACCGCUUGGGAAUACCAGGUGCUGUAAG
This is a non-coding RNA of Acanthosepion pharaonis, 99 nucleotides long. The record is from the annotation of a GenBank genome assembly. NCBI's taxonomy places the organism in Eukaryota, Metazoa, Mollusca, Cephalopoda, Sepiida, Sepiidae.